UUUAUUGACAAAAUUCUACGAAAAACGCUUUACUCGUCCCCUCUCAGAUCAGCCGAGUUUCGAGCUACGAACAAGCAAUCAUUGCUUGGGCUACCUGUGCUCCUUCCCAGCGCGGUCAAGCGUAACUAAUCGUACAACGGCGUCGGUCAAGGAUGCUUGUGGCUACUUUCUCGUUUUAAAAUACGGCUAGCGGCCAGGGAAAAUAGUUUAGCUCGGAUGUUUUGUCACAUAUCGAAUCAAAACAGCCGAAUUCCGAGCUACGGACACGCAACCGUUGCCUGGGCUACCUGUGGAUAUUCUGGCUUGCGUGAAAGAGAGUCCAAGGUCUGCACUACUCUUAGGGCUAAAAAGGCACGCCACGGAAGAUAGGAUAGUUUAGAAAUUGUUGCCAAGUUAUGGCUGUGAUUUAUACUGACAUUUGAAGCAGUAUGUUGGCUUUUUACAGCUCUCUAAGCCUUGGUCCUGACCCAUAAUAAAGCGCAUUCUUCCUGACCCAUUAAA
This is a long non-coding RNA of Nematostella vectensis (starlet sea anemone), 501 nucleotides long. RefSeq lists it as uncharacterized. NCBI's taxonomy places the organism in Eukaryota, Metazoa, Cnidaria, Anthozoa, Actiniaria, Edwardsiidae. The transcript is spliced from 2 exons. The record is from RefSeq and is a predicted model, not a curated record.